Non-coding RNA from Onychomys torridus (southern grasshopper mouse), 453 nucleotides. The record is from the annotation of a RefSeq genome assembly. NCBI's taxonomy places the organism in Eukaryota, Metazoa, Chordata, Mammalia, Rodentia, Cricetidae.
AUGAAGUGGCCUGCUCAGCUGUUGGUGCUGAUGGUGUUCUGGAUUCCUGCUUCCAGAGGUGAUGUUGUGAUGACUCAAACUCCAACCUCCCUGUCUGUCAGCCUUGGAGAUGAAGCCUCCAUCUCCUGCACGUCUAGUCAGAGCCUUGUACUAAGUAGUGGAAACACAUAUUUGGAAUGGUACCUGCAGAAGCCAGGCCAGUCUCCACAGCUCCUGAUAUACAAGGUUUCCAACCGAUUUUCUGGAGUCCCAGACAGGUUCAGUGGCAGUGGGUCAGGCACAGAUUUCACACUCAAGAUCAGCAGAGUGGAGCCUGAUGAUUUGGGAGUAUAUUACUGUAUACAAGAGUCACAUGUUCCUCCCACAGUGAUUCAGACCCUAACAAAAACAUCCUUUUUUGGGGAGGCCCAGCUGCCACAUAUGUUGCUUAUCUGUGUGAGAGAUAGCUGCUGA